AAGCAUCGUUGGGACAAAGUCUAAACAUUUCCUUGAAAUGCUCCCACGCAUCAUAAAGAGAUUCCCAUCUUUUUUAUUGAACCGUGUAAUUUGGUCUCUUAGUUU
This 105-nucleotide small nucleolar RNA is filed under the name Medicago truncatula (barrel medic). RNAcentral describes it as "snoRNA gene14883". It matches the Rfam family "Plant small nucleolar RNA R71". From Rfam's summary of the family: R71 is a member of the C/D box family of snoRNAs containing the C (UGAUGA) and D (CUGA) box motifs. Multiple nearly identical copies of this snoRNA have been identified in Arabidopsis, and it is thought to function as a 2'-O-ribose methylation guide for 18S ribosomal RNA. Lineage: Eukaryota; Viridiplantae; Streptophyta; Magnoliopsida; Fabales; Fabaceae. The record is from Rfam by way of RNAcentral.